AGCUUUGCGCAGUGGCAGUAUCAUAGCCAAUGAAGUUUAUCUGAGGCACAAUUAUUGCUAAUUGAAAACUUUUCCCAAUAAAUC
This 84-nucleotide small nuclear RNA is filed under the name Ursus maritimus (polar bear). RNAcentral describes it as "U4 spliceosomal RNA (ENSUMAG00000018818.1)". It matches the Rfam family "U4 spliceosomal RNA", at positions 1 to 83 of the family's 138-position model. From Rfam's summary of the family: U4 small nuclear RNA (U4 snRNA) is a component of the major U2-dependent spliceosome. Lineage: Eukaryota; Metazoa; Chordata; Mammalia; Carnivora; Ursidae. The record is from RNAcentral.